RNAcentral lists this ribosomal RNA (253 nucleotides) under uncultured bacterium. RNAcentral describes it as "partial 16S ribosomal RNA". It matches the Rfam family "Bacterial small subunit ribosomal RNA", at positions 524 to 776 of the family's 1533-position model. The record is from RNAcentral.
UACAGAGGGGGCAAGCGUUGUCCGGAAUUACUGGGCGUAAAGCGUCCGCAGGUGGCCCAGCAAGUGUUAUGUGAAAGCCCCGCGCUUAACGCGGGGAGGCCACGACAGACUGCUGAGCUCGAGGGGUGCAGAGGGUCGUGGAAUUGCCGGUGUAGUGGUGAAAUGCGUAGAGAUCGGCAGGAACACCAAGGACGAAGGUAGCGACCUGGGCACUCACUGACACUCAGGGACGACAGCGUGGGGAGCAAACCGG